GGAGAUGUCAUGGCUAUUGGGAGGCCUCCUGUGAGAAGCAGGCGGUCCCAGCCACACACCAGACCCUCAGCCCAGGGCUCCAGAGCUGGGAAAAGAAGUCCCUGUAACCUUGGGCUGUAAAAACCAGUGGGGAUUGUAGCUGAGUGACAGAGGCUGCUGUAGUCCCAGGUGUUCUUCUUAAAGGGCC
Molecule: long non-coding RNA, 187 nt
Organism: Myotis brandtii (Brandt's bat)
Lineage: Eukaryota; Metazoa; Chordata; Mammalia; Chiroptera; Vespertilionidae
Exons: 3
Source: RefSeq, a predicted model, not a curated record